UUCCUCUCUCUCGUCGUCUUGAAGUGUUUUGACAGAGUGGCCAUGUCCUGAUAAAAAGAUUCUAGGGCAGGGAUCUCACAUUAAUGAUCUUUCCUUCCAUAUAGCAGCAAUAAUGAACUAAUGGUUGGAGGCUGUGUUCUUUGAGAUGAAGUAGCAACAAUCUGUUUUGGAAGCAUUUGGAAUUUGUUCAAAGGACAUCCAUCCGGAUCUGAGUUCAUUAUUCAGAUGUGUCCAGAGUAAGAGAGGGAGCAGAGCGUGGCAAGCUGGAGGAGGUUGAUUUGGCGGCAUCGAUGCAAUGCGACACGAAGCUUGUAGCCCCCUUAGUUAGACUUUGGACACUAUUAUGGCAUCGUUGGUAAAGAUAAGUGAGUUUCUUGAAGAACUAGCUCAGUAAUUAUACUUUUGGUGAUGUAAUUAUGGAGCUCGGUCUCCCAUACUCUUGCGAUUAUAGCCUUCUGAGAUCCAUACUGUAAUCAUGAAUGUUUUUCCUUUCAAUAUGUAUGGAUCAUGU
Molecule: long non-coding RNA, 511 nt
Organism: Carya illinoinensis
Lineage: Eukaryota; Viridiplantae; Streptophyta; Magnoliopsida; Fagales; Juglandaceae
Exons: 3
Source: RefSeq, a predicted model, not a curated record